ACGAACGCUGGCGGCGUGCUUAACACAUGCAAGUCGAACGGAAAGACCCUGCUUUUGUGGGGUGCUCGAGUGGCGAACGGGUGAGUAACACGUGAGUAACCUGCCCUUGACUUUGGGAUAACUUCAGGAAACUGGGGCUAAUACCGGAUAGGAGCUCCUGCUGCCUGGUGGGGGUUGGAAAGUUUCGGCGGUUGGGGAUGGACUCGCGGCUUAUCAGCUUGUUGGUGGGGUAGUGGCUUACCAAGGCUUUGACGGGUAGCCGGCCUGAGAGGGUGACCGGCCACAUUGGGACUGAGAUACGGCCCAGACUCCUACGGGAGGCAGCAGUGGGGAAUAUUGCACAAUGGGCGGAAGCCUGAUGCAGCAACGCCGCGUGCGGGAUGACGGCCUUCGGGUUGUAAACCGCUUUCGCCUGUGACGAAGCGUGAGUGACGGUAAUGGGUAAAGAAGCACCGGCUAACUACGUG
Molecule: ribosomal RNA, 467 nt
Filed under: uncultured bacterium
Lineage: Bacteria
Description: partial 16S ribosomal RNA
Rfam family: Bacterial small subunit ribosomal RNA
Source: RNAcentral